Molecule: long non-coding RNA, 29418 nt
Filed under: Gallus gallus (chicken)
Lineage: Eukaryota; Metazoa; Chordata; Aves; Galliformes; Phasianidae
Description: lncRNA (ENSGALG00010019749.1)
Source: RNAcentral
CUGCAAACGAAUGUUGCAUGUUGAAGAUGGCCAGGAUAUUUGCAAAAAGGAUAAUAGAGAUCUGGACAAAACACACAUAAUAGUAUCUGAUACAUGGAAACAGAUAUGUUUGUGGAGAGAGAAAUAAAAGGGAAAUACUGAUCCAAAAUCCUAUCCGUACAUGAUGCUUUUGUUUCAGUUUUGUAAAAUUUGUGCCUUCUGAUGUCUGGGCACACCUAGCGAGAAAAUAUCAAAGAAAUUCAACAAUUUUCUGGCUUGAUUAUCGAAAAUGCUAUGUUGAAAGAACCUAUGAGGUGAGGCACAGCAAGACGGACAGUGUGCCUACAUCUUUCAAGUUUACAACUGUCAAAUUUGUUAAACUAUGCUAUUUUUAGUGAAAUUACAAUUUGGAACUGGCACAUUGAUUCCACACAGUUGGAGCCUGCUUCAAUGCCAGUGAACAUACUUUGAUUUAUUGCUCUUUUAUUCAGGUCAGGAACCAUAACCUUGGGUGCAGCCAACUCAUCGGUCUCUGUGCUUGAGACAAGAGGUGAAUAUGGCCUUUAGAAUUAAAACAGUUUAUGCUAUGAGGGAGAAGAUGACCUGAAACAAAUUUUCUGUAAUUAGCUAUAACUAAAUUUGCCUGCAACUUAAUGAAACAGACAACAGGAUAGGAAAAGAGAGUUGGUUAUUAUUAAGGAAAAUGAAAUCUGGAAGUUGAGAAUGAGCUUAAAUAAAAAAAAAAAAAAAAAAAAAAACAACCAAAAGAAAACAGAUAACCACCAAGAUAAUCAUUUCUUAGAUAAAUGGGGACUGGAAGAAUUUUAAGGAGGUGUCACUAGAAACACCGUAAGUAUCUUGAAGUAAGACCAGAAAACAAUAAACAUCUGACAAUAUUUAAUUUCUCUCAUCCAUUCAACCUCAGUUCAAAUGUUACUUGUGCAUUCUCUAUACUUUGAUCAAUAAUGUACCAGUAUGUGAAGAACAAGCAACAUCAUCUGCACUCAAACAAAGAAAAGAAAACACAGUAAAGUUGAGGGAGGUGCUAAGAAGGAGAAGAGACAUGGUCCUUGAAAUGCCCUUUCUCAAAAUUAGGAGGAGAAAGAUGGCAGUUACACAAGAAAAAUUAGAAACGUAAGCAUCCAUUGCUUCCUUCAAAACCAACACAUUUCAUUUGAAUCUUCUGAAGACCUGUAUAAUAACAGGAGGCGUUUACUGCACUGUGCUGAGUACAAGAACUGUCUCCAUUAGUGCUACUAGGAGACAAUGAAAGGAAAUUCAACCUUUUUUGCAACCUGACAAAUCACUAACAGUCCCUCUCAGUCUGAUGGUGGCUAUGUUUGAAAAGCCUAAUGUUAUGACAGAUGUCAAGGAGAAGCAUAUAAAAAAAAAGGCAAUCUUAAAACAAAAUCCAUGAAAAUAUGUAACUUGUAAACCUGGCACUAUUCCUUUAAAGUGAAAACAAUUAAGCACCAUUUUAAGCAAAGUAGCCAGAGGGAAUGACAGAAAUCAAAUAUUUUUAUUUCCAGAUUAAGUAACAUUAAGAGAAGAAAAACACAAAACACAAAGAAUAAAAAGGAUUGGUUCUGCAUUGCUAAACCAUAAGGGACAAAAAACAGUGUUGGCAUAACAUUUUUCAUUAACUACAGUAAAAGCAAAACGUACAUAUCAGUGUUACACAUCCUCUUCUUGCCUAAGGCUCUGAUUAAGUUCCCCAAACUUCUUUUGCUCUACAGCUUUUAAUGCACCACCACAUAUUUUUCUGCUAUCAUUGAACAUGUCAGAGAAAUAUCUCUGCAGCACACUAAAUCUAGGUUAAGAAUCAUGGAAACAACAAAUUUUUUUUUCUUACUUGAGAUAAAAAAGCGGCGAUGGUAAGGGAUUUUUUCUAGUUAACUACAUCCGUAUCUGAGAAAUAACAGCCAUGGUUUUGUUACAGCCACAAGUACUCAGGUCACCCAAAGUAAUUGGUGGGUAAUGGCCGCUUGGAGAAUUUAUUUUGCAUAAGAAACCGUCCUGAUACGAAUUGGUACAAGUGGCAUGGCCUCUUCCCAUAUAAAUUCCUUUCAAUUUCUGGUAUAUGCUAUAUGUGCUUAAGGGAAUACAGCAGAGGAAUAUGCAGUCUCUGGAAAUUUACUGAACCACAAUAAGAAAGAAUAGUUCCUUAAUUUUUCACCUCACUGCAUCUCCGAACUGUACAACACUUCCUUGACAGAAUUCCCUUUUCUUUACAAAAGGCCAUAACAUUUACAGUCCACAAUAACUGCUGGGUUGUGACAUCAGUCUUUGUGAAGGCAGGAAAACAGUACUCCUGACACAGACAUCCAGACUGGUGAAGACUGAACAGUUACUGGUUCACACCUAUUUGGAUAACAACAUACGUGCAUACAUUCAGGUGCUCAUAACUUCUCCCUCCUCUUGUUUCUAAAACAGGAAUUUUUUCUUCCAUGUUGUUUAGGAUCCACAGAGGGGAAAGGAAAGCCGUAUAAUGAGAUGCAGUAGAGUGCACAUAGAAAUAAUAUAGAGUAUAUAGAUAAUAUGGAUGUAAUAAAAGAAUAAAAACUGCUAACAAACUUCCCUUUGCAAGCAAGAUUUCCACUGUGCAACACACAAAUAGAACAGUACCUACUUCACCCUCUCCAGCCUCAUGAACUUUUGGGAAGUGGGGUAAUAUUUCAGUAUUAAUAAAAUAAGAUCAGCUGUUAAACUGAUACAGAAAUCAUCUUUGGGCACUAGCAAGCCAAAUUUUCCUUGCAGCAUGAAGGAAGAAAUUUUCAUCAGUUUAAAAAUGAUGUUUUGUGUAUUUGACUUACACAGAUACUCCCUUCACAAAGAUACAUGCUUCCUAACAGAGGAGCAAACUGCAUCUAAAAUUUCCUCCUCCUCCUCCACAGGACAUUACAGAGCAGCUGCAAAAACUGGGUUUAUCAAGUUCACAUACAAAUAGCCACCUUGGAGGAAAGAUGGCACAUGGAUCUCCUCCCUCAGCUCCUCUCAGCAGCCCAGAGGUUGCCUGCAGUACUGGGACAGCUGCUGAUAGGUGGGCAGCUGAUGAAUGACACAUGCUUAGAGGGGAAAUCCAUGGAAAGAUAGGAAUGAUCUGCAUUUUUCACCAAAUUAAAACUAAGGGGAAAAAAAAGACGCAUCAACUACCGAAUGCUGAAAUCUAACUGAACUGCUGAGCAUACCCUUUAAGUGAUAUUUCUAUAAACAGCUUGGAAAGCCAAUAAGGCACGCGAGAAAAUUUACUAUUAUUUUAGACUUUUGCAGACAAACUUGUUCUAAAGGCAUUUACAUAGGUGUGGAGAUUGAUGUAAGAAUACUGAGCCGUGCACUUCGUUUUAUAUUUCAAACCUUGACUGACUUUUUCAGGCACCAUUAAUAUCUCCUUUAUGUACUGAGGUUUGCGUGAAGCAAAUGUACAAUCUGUGCGCAUUGUCAGACUUAAAACCAUUGAGAUAAUGCCUUGGGAGAGAGGUCCACAAAUAAGCGGUCACUCCUACCAGCAAUAAGGUUUAUGCUUAAGUGAGGUUUCUACUCUGCACCCCUCCCUGCAGAAGCAGAGGACCAAACACAAUUGUGCUUGUAGUGAUCAAAAAGAAGUAUAGGUAUUUUCAGCAUUUUUAUGCCAGCAACCCAGUUAGCUCUUAAAUGAAUGAACCCAAGCAAUUCGUGCAAGGAGCUCCAUCAUCUGACACAGCUGCAUUGAUAUCCAGGUUAGAACUCCAGAACUAAAUAUUUGCAUUAUAUCUGUGAUAUUAGAUCCUCACCAAGCCUCCUGGAGGCUGAAAAUUAUUAUGUUGUUAUAUUUAUUCAUAUCUCUGUAUUGCUAAAAUCUGCCUGGAAACAAUGCGGAGACACAAGAACAAAAAAAAAAAUUCUGCAUUUCAAACCCAUUCCAAAGUCAAAAUAGUAAUAAUAGCUUUUUUUUUGGAGGUUAACAUCAGGGGUUUUUCAACAAAUGGAGUACUAAGGAGGUUCAGACUGCCUGAAAAGAGUAAGUCAAAGCAAAAUACCAACAUUUUUGUUGUACCAUGUAUCACAAUUACUGUUAAUAUACUGCAUUUGAUUUAGUUCCAGUUUCACAUUUCCACUGACAGUCUCCAUAAAAUCAGUGAAAAUUUAGUUACUGGAUUUCUCAUGCCAAUCUCCUGAGUGCAGAAAAACUUUUAGACUAUGUCUAGAAAAAGAUCAUUUAAUAUUGCCAGUAAAACAUCUCAUGCAGAGGCUAGUAAAUAAAACAGUUUCUCUUAUCUAAUUCUAAUGUACUACAUAAUGUGUGAAAUCAUUCCUUGGCAGACAAGCUGAAGGAAUUGGGUGGUUGUUUUCUGUCUUCCUCACUGUCUCCUUCCUUCAGCAGUUUCUCAAUUCUGUAUUUGCCAUGGAACACAGAAAUGACUCAACUUUUUCACCUGAUAAAAUCAGAUUUUUAGCUAUUUUAACUCAAAGAAAUUCAAAACCAGUUGUUUCUUAUAAUCACUUAAGGAAUGAGCUAGCUUGAACAAUUAUACUUCACAAAAACAUUUUCAGUCAUCUUCUAUCAGGGAGAAUGGAUCAUUAUUUGCAUUGUGAAGAAUAUUGUGGCAACCUUCCAGCAGCUGGAAGUGGCUGAAAAGGCUGAGGAACUCCACAGUGCGCUUCAUCACAAGGCAUUAUGUGACACCGCUGUGUGAGGGUAGAAACAGCAAACGUAACCUUCAGGAAAUGUCCUCAUUUGUAAUAUCUGGAAACUGGAUGUAACUCUCAGCACUUGUGUUUCAGAGAGAGUAAUUUGCUGCGGAACAGGCAAAGAGCAAACCUACUGGGAUGGUGAGAAUGGGGAGUCUGUCUGAGCCUGAUUUGUUUAGCUUUCCAAAAUGAAAGCUGCAAGUUCUUAUGAGUGCUAUCCAUAAAUGCACCUGGAGAAAACAUAUUCAGUCUGAAAAAUAACACUGAAUCAGGAAGCAGUGUACAUGAAGUAGCCAUGAUUAAGUUGCAGCUGAAAAGUCACAGGAUGGAGUACUGCCUGUGGUGCAUCAGGAUUCUGUAACUCUCUCCCAUUACCAAUUGGACAAAAUGUUUGACUCAUUUGAGAAGUGAGCUUUAUUAAAUCAUCUAGUCACUUGUACAAUCCAGAAGUCUGGAUUCAUUAACCUUGAAGUGGCAUUUUCUAUCUGGUCCAACACACAUCUGUUUGUGCAGCAUGUGCCAGACCAAGCAUUUCAUGUUCUCAGUUUGAGAAUGAUUUUUACUUACAAGCCACACAUUUUUCUUUUUAACUGAAUUAAGGCACUACGGGGACACACGGGUUUAAGAUUACAGGGAACGAUGAAUGGUGAAUUAUACCUCAGGCUACCAAUACAAAACCACUGGAAGAAAACUUCGCUUUUCAAUCUCAAGCCUUGCAGAAUGUCCCAAGUUUUUCCCCCUUCAAUUUCCUUGAGUCUCCUUUCCAUCUUUGUUCCCUCUUAACUAGCUCUAACAUCCCACUCGCAGACAGUCCACGUGUCUACAACUCACUGGUAGACAUUAUAUUCUCAAUAUUUUAUUACAGCUAUUAAAAGCCAUCACAGGAUUGGUUUGUUUCUAAGUUUCCAUCAUUUCCUAUUUUAAUUAUGGAUUGUUUAGCUGAACAAAGCCAUAUUAAAUGAAAAGCACGGUGAAGGAGUAGAGGAAGAACUUUACAAUCACAGCUGACAGCUUAGCUAUUUAUGCUGUAAAUGCAUCAUAAAUAAUUUCUGAGGACUUCAUACAUUUCUGUACAUGGUCUGUAGCAGGCUCAUAAAUAGAUUGAUAAACGUAUAUUAACCAGUGAUAUCCAAACCUCAAAGUAAAGCACUGGCACAGCCUUCUCUCAAAAGCAUCAUGCUUGUUAUAACCUCCAUAGACUCGUUCUUUGUAAGCAGACAUAAUGAAUAUAGGGAACAUUUUCAAAAUGAGAAUUAUCAGAUCAACUUCUCUUACUAAGUAUCUCAAAUACCUGAGAAGAAUCAAAUUUCCAGAGACUCUCAACUCAGUCAGAAGCACGCACCAUGUCAGCUUUCACCAUAAACCUGAGAGCAGUGUACAGCAUGUAUGUCAGCAACUUAACAGCACCCUCUCCCUACAUUAAAAAGAAAUUUGCAAAAACUAAAAAAAUCUGUUUUCCAAAAUGAUAUUUUGGUGAACAAGUCUUAAUUAACCCCAUGUAAAUAUAUUUGCCAUUUUAGUUUCUAUAUUCUAAAACUUCUUAUCUUAUCCCAUACAUUUCUGAUGCCCCAUGACCUCCUCAUCUGCCUUAUGUCUGCAAUAGGACAUACUUAACUUCUCUACAGCCAUGUAUGUACUAUGUAUAAAGGAAUAAUAAAAAUUUAGAAUUUAUAAACUUAGAUAUUUUUUCCAGAAAUAGAGUCAGUGACAUAACACAACAAUGUACAAGGAUUAAAAGAGACCAGACAUUUAUGGAAGUAAAAACUGUCUUGAAUUAGCUCUGUCCCUUUACCCACCUUGCCUUUCCCCCUGCACCAUCCUCUUCCUCACCUUCCUGCUCCCCAAGCCAGCCUGCAAUCUCCUAGAGCAGGGACAUGCAAACCAGCACAGCAGAUAACAUAGAUUCCUUAAGGUUUGAUCAGUGUGGUUUUUCUGUUUGUUUGUUUUUUAAUUGCUCUUGAGGAUGGCCCAACCUGAAGAGGUACCUGGACAGCUGCACCAUAGCCUAACAAGAAUGAGAACUGAACAUGAAAGGUUACAGAGGGAUAGAAUGUGCCAAGAAGUGAAGGAACACUGGAAAUGACAGAAAGAAAUCCAAAGACGAUAAUGAUGAUUUAGUCUGAUGUGCUGCAAGACCUGAGUGCUGUUAAAUGGGAAAAAAAAAUUGUAUUAAAAAAAGUCUUGGGAGACUAAGUGAGUACAGCUUCAUACAGAACGUGAUUCAGAGAUAAUCACAACAUGAAGGAAUGGAAAAUGUAAGCACAUUACGUGUAUUAAAAGACACAAUGAUAGCAGAGUAGCAUGGUAUGGUAAGACUGUGAAAAAAAAUAGGGAAAGCACAGGAAUGACAGUGCAAAAUCUUCUGUGAUCAAAUCAUUUUAGAGAAAUAUGGUAAAAUAAUACUAGGCUCCAUUAAAGAUCUCCACAGUUGGACUUGAAUUAAGCCAGAGGUCUUAAUGUUAGAGAAAUUCUGUCAAAAAUGUUUUCAACUUUGCAGAAGGAGAGGAAAAAAUGGCAGGAGGCAGAUGUCACGUGGCAGCAAUUACUGCAUUUCAGGGAUUCAGAACAAACAAAAGCAGGAAUAUCCCACUUCAGUCAUCCUCCCAGUACAAUCUCAUCACAGAACAUCUCUAUGAGAUAUUCUUUUUGACAGCUGUAUUAUUAAGAUAAUGCUAUAGGAGACUUGCAAUAACAUCUAAUUAUGUAGAAACAGAGAGGAAAAGAUUUGGAUCAAAUGUCCAGCCACAGAAGGAUUACAAGCCUGUAAUACCCUACAGCUGUGAAAAAUUAAACUAGGAGAGGUAUUUGAACAGUACUAGUGAGGCCUCAUCUGGAAUAACGUAUGCAGUUCUACUCAUCUGGAAUAACAUAAGCAGUUCUACCCAAGGAAAAUAAAUUCUAUCUGCAUUCGUAGUAUGUUUGAGGGAAUCACCGUUUAUUUUAAGAGGAGAUCCUUGGUUUGUAUAACCUCACAAAAUGAAAGUUGAGAAGGAUUUUAUCUAUUUUCCACUCUUCCUUAUCGUAGGGCUAACCAGCAGCAAGAAGGAACUGUUCAGCUAGAGGUUGAUGUUGGCACUAGAACAAAUUAUUCAAACUGGCCAUAAAUACACUUGGGUGAGAAAUUACAGUAUUUCUAACUACUUAGUAAGCAAAAGGGAAAAAAAGGAAUAGAUGCAGCAGACUCAAAAACAAGAAGUAGUUUGGAUAAUCAAUAUACAGAAAUGAUAAUGUAAACGUGGCUGCAUGAAAAGGAUUUGAUCAACUAAGAGGCUUUUCUGUUUGCCUACAUUCUUGUUUUUCAAUUCUAUCAGUCAGGCUUUCUCCAUCUCAGGUCCAUACUUCAGUGGAUCAGUCCAUCUGCCACGUGCCCACAGUGCUGGGAAGCCAAGGAAAUGCACAGCUACCCUGACACUGAGCCUUGCUUACUGGCACUGCCAGUAGGAUCCAUCGUGAGUUACUGAGUCAUGUGAAUUAAGGAGUAAAAAAAAACCCACAAAACCAGGCUUGCCAGAUGUGCUUUUUUCACAUAUUUUGACAAUUAUGGUUGGGCUUAAUCAUUUAUGAUAAUACUUCAUAAUGCUCUAGCAAAUGCUCUGGAGUAUACUCUGUAAAAAAUAAUGAAGUCUUAAGUAACAUGGCAACUCACUCAGCUUUUAAAUUUUUGCUCAGAAGCAGAAGGAAACAGCUUGUGUUUUCUGCAGAUUAUGGAGAACUACCACAGGAAAAUUAGGAACAUUUCCAUUAUUGCUUCUCUAUCUCUUUCUUAAGCAUUAAUUGUCAUUAACUACUGUAACAUUACCAUUGUUAUGAAGCAACAAGACACCCACAAAUAAUAUCUUCACAGCACUAAAGGAAGAAAUGCUAUCAAAUAGUAAUAUGGAGUUGUACAAAAGAAACUACAGGAAAGGAAAGGACUAAUAAUUUGUGUCUAAAUAAAAGUCAGCACUCUAAUUCUCACUGAAAGCCAGCUGUCAAGUCCUGCAUAACUUAACCAUCUACUCCCUUAUUGUGGCUUUGCUCAGCAAUUCAGCUGGCUGUAAGAUAUCACAAAAAAAAAAAAAAAAAAAAAAAAAAAGGCUUCCUUCACUUAAAAAAAAAAAAAAAAAAAAAACCCACGUCAUUCCGAUAGAAAUUUUCCAUCUGACUCCUUUAUCACAACUUCUGGACAGGGUUGGAUAAGCACCAAGCACAGCCACGUGAUCUGGCAGAGCUCAUUUAUGAAACACAAUGUUGAUAUGUAAGCAGUUAAGCAUCUUGUGUCAGUAACACUGACACGAUCUCAGCUUUGAAAAAUGUCAACAAUUGAACAGUGCCUGUACUUAAUUUCAAGGAAAUUAAGGAAGUCUGUGGAAUUCAAAUAAAUUUGCUAUUUCCAUACUUCCUUGUUUUGCUGAUUGGCAGCAGUUGCCACUGUAACAUAAGGUGGAAAAUAGGAACAACUUGCACAGAUCUAUCAUAUGUUUCACAUUCUGUAAGUGUUUAGGUGGGAAGGAGUUAUUGUUCCAAAGCUCAAAAAGAGGUAACAGAGUAUUCACUGCAGAUGCAAGUCUGAGGCACUCACCAUUUCAUAAAAGCAGAAUCCUUCCAAAUGUUGUGCCAAUGGAGACAGUAAACUGACAAGAAAUGUAGAUCAAUGUUCUUUAAACAUUUCAGCUUUUCUGAUAAGCAAACAUUUCAGUCUGUGUAAUAUUGUCAAACUACAGCUGCAGAGAAUUUUGAAGAGGCUCCUAUGCAUGCUUUAAAUAUUCCUAUUCCUUUCUACCAGAAAAUGUUCUCAAGAGAGCAUAACGCCAACACAGUUCUGUUCAUAUUGCAGUCAGCUCCCUGUAUCAACUCUGGGAGAGAGUAUGGGCAAAAGCUCAAUGAAAGCUUGGAAUUCGAUGUCACUGCCUGACUGAGGCACUUCACAAGUUGCACCAGAGGAAACAGGAAGAUAAUUUGCCUCUGGAUUUGUGCAUUAAAAACAUAACUGAUGUUGCAGAGAGAAAGGAUUUGGCAAAACAGGCAGAAGGCUACAGGCAUUGCACUGCCAUUAAAUUAGCAUUUAAUCUUUCCUUUACAAGACACAGCAUUUUCCUCAGAAAAAAAAAAAAGAUCUUUGCAAGAUAGCAGACUCUGAGAUCUGUCAAAUAAUCAAAAAGCUGAUUUCUUGGCAAAGAAAAAUCUUCCCAAGAAAUAAGACUUUUUGAAUGACACAUAGAGAAAUGACAGGAAAAUAGGGAGAACUUCUUGGUUCACAGGAAGAAAUUUUUAUGAGCUCAUGCCAGGAGGCAAAAAUAAUCUUUAAUAUUUAGAAGAUUUUAUAGAUAUGUGGAAGGAGCUAUAUAAAAUUUAGAUUCCACCAUUAAAACUGAGUCUAAAAUGUGCAAGGAAAUAAACAGAGUAAUGCACCUAAGGCAACAUACAGCCCCAGGAGCCUUAGGCCUGUGUCAUGAUUGAGGAACAGCAAUUUGUAUAUUUGGAUCUGUAUGCUGCAUGUACAAAGACUAGCACACAAAAAUUUGAAAGGCAGGGAGGUACUAUCAUCUUUGCAAAUUAUUUGUAUUUAAUAGGGUUUUUUUUCUGCAUGAAUCAGUAAAGGUUUCAAAUUGCUGUCCUUCCAUUGCUCACCAUUGGGAAAAACAAAAAAUAUUCUGUAGAAAUACAUGAUAAUUCAAUAUCCACUUAAAUUAUCUUCUUUAUAACUUUACUCCUCCUUUUCAUUUUUAAGAGCUCCUACCAAGAGGCAAAAGUAAUAUUUAACCAUCUAAGGCCAGUCUGAAAACAAAUCAAGCUGACAGUUUAGAAUGCACCAUCAAUGACUAUUUACUUUCCAAUAUACACUAUUUAAUAGAUCGGUUAGGAUGAUAGAAGUCAUACUCUAUGCUUGUGAGACACCAAGUAGAGAUGUUUUCCAGAUGGCAGAAACCUCCUAUAUCUAGGUGAUAAAACACAGAAGAUGUGUAACAAUACCACUACUAAACUUUCCAGAAGCAAGAAAACAAGCUGGCUUGCAGAUCAUUUUACAAUGCCUUACCAAUAUUUUGGCAAUGGCUUUCCCAAUUAAAAAAAUUAACCUGAUAGUUCCUUCUUACUAUUUACAAUAGCCAAGAUCCACCAGAGAAACUGAAAGCAGGAAUAGCAGUAGCAUCUAGAAAACUCGACUCUCACAUCAUAUAUUAAAGAGAUUGAGAUUUUCAGGUUUCACAAGGACUUCAAGGGAAUUUAUGUUACAGCAUUUGAGCUCAUUACAACAGCUCAAAAUCGAAGAAGAUCAGAAAUGCCAAAAGAAAACAAAAGAUGUGUCUAACAUUUUCCCCAAAUUCAACUUGUGCCUAUGAUUUUACAUCGACAUAGAAAAUGAUAGUAACAACAGAGUCAAACACCUUUGCAUCAAGUUGGUUCGAAGAAGUGACAUUAAAGAUUGUGUCUGCAUAGCUUUAUGAAUAGUAAAGCCUUCAUGUUAAUAAAAAGGCUUAGCUAUGCACCCCUCCCAGCCUUAUGGAAAAACAAAUUUAAUUAAAUUGCUUUAAAGGAACCUAGUGUCCAUAAAUUUUAAUGACGUUUUAAUGUCCCUAUUUUAAUGACUUUUCACCUGACCAUCUCAUGCCUUUUGAUACACUACACAACUCUUUUGAACUUCUCCUGUUGCCUCCUCUCUGAUUGUUGGUUGUAAAGGAAACCCGAGAUUCCCCCUCAUCAUUCAGCUGAUUUAUCCUAGAGGAACAUCAAGAAUGAGUGUCUGCUCUUAACAAAUUUCCAGUUUCAAUUUUACAGUGAAAAGUAUACAUCCCUACAGAUGAGCUGUAACAAAACUAAUUUCAGAAAUCAACCUUCUGACACUUCAUGCACGUGCCUAUUAAACAUUAUUCACAUCUGAACAGUAACAUUUCAGAGAUACGUGCAAUGAACAUCGAUGUACAACUAAAUCAACAUCAAAGGCUAUUAAUAAGGACCAUUUAGUAAGUUGAUGACUAUUGUCUAUUCACCUAGUGUAUGUAACCAGAGUUUCUUGGAAGUCUUAAUACUCAAGUAAAGCUCCAGGUUGCCAUGGAAAGCAGCAGCAGAAGGCAGCAUGGAUACCAAGGUGUAAAGUGAUAUAGGGUUAUCCAAUAGUUCAACAUAAGAAAAAAAGGCCUCUGUGGUCUUAUCUGGUAUUGAUUCACUUCUUCAUACAUCACCUCUCUCACUUUCUGGACAAAAAUAAAAUAAAAUCAAGCAAUUUACAGCACAGAAAAGAUUUUUUUGUGUGUGUGCAAGACAAUGUUUACUUCUCUCUAUAGGAUUAGGCAGGUACCUAUUUGCAGGGAACAGGGGAUAACCUGGAUUAAGUUUCUUGCUGCUUCUAGGGAGAAAUAACUUGUUUGCAAAACACUUCUGAGGCAACUGAGCCAUUCAGAAAGAUUAAAUGAAUUCGGAAAGAAGAGAAAAAUGGUGGUAAAGGAAAAUACUCAGAAAACAAAGAUACAAUCAAGAAAAAUAAUAUACUGAAAUGAACAUAUGGCAAGUACUUAUUGGCAUAUACCUGUUAAACUUCCCCUGAAGAAACAUACCACAUAACCAGAAAGUAAAACAAGAUGUGACAGAACAAUAAGAAAUACUGAAAGUAGCAUAUAUAAAAAAAAAAACAGUUAUAAACACUUAGCAAGCUAUUGACAACUGUUUUCAUGAAAUGUAGCUCCUUGAUCAGCAAUAGGAAACAUUCCAAUCAAUGUGAAGUCUAUGAACUGACUAUUUAUCCACGAUAUUACAAUUCCUUAAUUUCAUCCUAGGAUGCUCAUUAUUAAAUGUUUGAGUAUUUUCCACCUAUAAAAAAAACACAGCAUAAUAACUCCUCUAACUGGAAACAGAAGGUCAUUCGACAUCUUGAGCUGGUAAACUAUGAAACAAAGACAUAUGUCCUUCAGACACUGUGGUGACAACACUGAGAUGGAACAAAUGUUUUCAGAAGGCCACUGCAGGAUGGACAAGCUGUAAGCUUGUUACGGUUAUGCAGAGAACCGUUCACAUGAUAAUACGGAAUAAAGAAGUCAAGUCCUUUAGAAAGCAUUUAUGUCACUGGAAGAACCAAAGGAUCUGUGUGCUGUGCAGGUGGCAUCAGAAACUUGCUAAAAAGAGAUAGUGCAGCCCAUUGCUUGUUCAGUACACAUCUUGUAUACUCAGAAGGUCUUUUUCAUAAAAUUAAGAUCUAAAUGUUCAGAAAAAAUAUUACUUUCUCGUGAGAAUAUCCUAAUGAGACACACAUUGAGAUCUUUGAGGAUGAAAUGGCUGCUGAAGAUUUGUCAUAUUCUCCAGGAAAGCACCUCACAUUCACAGUCAGAUGCCUGCAAGCCUAUAGCAAUGCGUCCUUCUCACUGAUUCACUGAAGGGUGAACCAUACAAAUACUAAAAAUAUUACCUUGCAUUUCUUCUAGGAUGAAAAGAUGAAAAUAACCAUUAAGCCUAUACAUAAAAAGUCAUAGCACUUGUUCUUCUCUUGUCUGUAAUGGCCAGAAAGAUUACAGUUGUCUUUGAAUCAUGACAGCACUUUAGUAAUGGAAUGUACUCAAAGGUAAUAACAACUGACCCUCUCCCUUCCAACAGAUGAACAAACCUGUGUUACCAGAACAUCUUUGUUCUUCCAGUAGAGAGCCAAACUAGACGCAGCAGCAGACAGCACAGCAAUAGCAUGAGUAGCACUGUCUAACUUCCUCACUGCUGAUCAUCCUUGAGAAACUACUAAUUAGUUAGAAACUUUAAAUAGGCACCUUCCACUGGUUUCUUUAUGAAACCAUGUCAUUCAUCUCAUUUAAGUGGAACUCCAAGAAAUGAAUGUGUGGAGUUCAGAAUAACACCUUUUUUUUUUUUUUUUUUUUCUUCCCCAGAAGGAUUUUUCUCAUUUUGCUGUUUUCUUUUCUUUUUUUAAUUGCCCAGAUUCACCAUUUUUGUGAUUGAACACCCCUUGGGAGGUGAAGACCACUUAGCUAUUUAUUCACACAAGCAAAGUGGCUUUGAAAAAAAAUUGUGUUUUCAUUUUCAGACUUCUGACAAAUGAGAUCGACUCAUUAGUAAUUAAGAAGUAUACCUUUAAUAGCUCAUCCUUUUGGCAUGCAGAAAGACAGAGGAAAGGAAAUAGAAUAGUUCUGGAGAAUGAGUUUGUCAAAUGUGUGCGUUUUCUCACAUGAGAAAGGUGAAAUUCUCACAUAGUUUAUUUUUUCCAAUUUUCUGUCCUGCCAUCUUCAUCUGUAAUGAUUGAUCAAAUAUCUCAAAGCACUCUCAUGAGACUAACAGUUCAUGUUUGAUGACAGAAGAAUAAUUCUGGAUCUGCUACCACUUCUAGAUAGCCAUAGCACCUAGGAGUUUAUCAUCUAAACAUUACCCUUGUGACUAUAAAGAGAGAUGUAGGUGCAGGUUACAUUGUCAGUAUGUUUUUGGAUAGAAAACAAGCACUUGCUUGUUUUAAUACAGUACUCACAUUCUAAAUUUAAUUUAAAGAACUAUCUCAAAACUACACAUAAACAAGAAAAAAAACUGUUACAAGAUACCCUACCCUAUUCAUUUAUUCUAACAUCUUCUGCUACUGCCUCUGAAAUAAUACUCUUCAUUUCCAUUAUUUCCUGUCAAGAAGAAAUACAGUCACAUUUGCUUACUGGUGUUGCAGAAUUUCAUAGCCUUACUGCAAUACGGUCAGCAGUUAGCAAUACUUUUAAAGCCCCAGCUGUUUUAGGUCUAUUUCUUUUUAGAAAUCACUUAUUUUACAUCUGCAAAACGAGGUUAGUGAAGAUUUAACUCUAUAACAACACCUACACAUUUGAAAUGGAUUUCUAUAAAACAAAACAAAACAUUUAUCUUAUUAUUUGCAUUCGACAAUUCUGCAUCUAAUUUGAUUUGAAUUCAAAAUAGUUGACUUCACCUCCAGCCCUCCUCAUACUCAGCCAUAUUUUCCUAUGUCUGUAUGUCUUACAGUGUUGUUCAAUCUUCAGUGCUGGAUUUCUAUUCCCACUAAUAUUAUCCUCUAAACUUCCUAAUGAAAUGUAACAGUUGUGUUUUUACUGGCUGUAGCAAGAAUUAAAAUAUAUCAAUUUUCCCAAGGAAGAAAAGAACAAUUAGAAAAGCUUCAUUCUUAACUGGAAACAAAGGUAUUCUACUAGGCCAUAGUCAAAAAAAUUCCUUUCUCAAAGCAGUAUUAAAAAUUUAUCAAAAGAAAAUAUUUUGAAAUAAAUAAAUCUUCAACCUGUGGAGUAUAACACUCAGGAGUCCUUGCUUAAACAACAAUCUAAGUAAGCCAAGCUAAGCAUUUGCAAUAACCAAUUUCCAGUUUAUUAGCAUCUUGCAAAGAUUCAAGAUUCUGUAUUUGUAGUUUUUCACCUCACCACCUCCUGAAUUUCUCUCAGCUGUUCUCAGCUAAUAAAUACCACCUCCAAAUACUUAAAUAAAUAACGUGUAGAUUAUUUUAACCUGCGUAUUUUCAGAGCGGGACUGGUGUCCAAACGACAGAGAGGCACCCAGGUAGUCCAGCAGAGUCUAUGGCCUUUUAGCUCUCACUCUUCCACUUUCUGCUCCCUUAGAGCUACCCUGGGACUUUGCUGACCACAAUAGCUUUGGGCACUCUCACCCAGAGACUUAUUCAAUCACUCAGCCAACAAUACACCUGAUUAAGAGAAAUGGCCUUUUAAUAAUCUUCUACUCCACAAAUUCAUACCCUCACAUUAUAGGCCAGAACAACAAGAGGCAUUUCAUCAACUUCAAAAGUAUAAGUCAGGUUGAUGUUCAUUAAAAAUAUAUAUUCUGCUGUGCUUUGUGUUUGAAACCACUGUCUCUAAAAUGUGUCAACAAAUGAAAGCCAACAAAAAUUGUACAGCUGAGCUGGUUGUGAUUCCCGUGCUUACGACUGACUUCCCUGGUACACAAAUGCUUAACAAUAUAUUUUGUAGUAUUUUCUGAUAUUCCUCAUUGGGAAAAAAAAAAAAAAAAAAAAAAAAAAAAAGAACAUAAAAAAAUCCAUAAGAAAUACUAUAACUGAUGUUGUAAAUAAUAGCAUACAAUAUAUUGAGUCAGUCUGAGUUGGCACUCUGUGUUUCUAUUGGAAGAUUCAUCCAUCAUCAAAAUCUUUCCUCUCCAUAUCCCACUGAAAGCUCCUAAGAACUGCUUGGGCCUCUCACAAUUAUUACAUUUUAUAGCUUAUAAAACCUUAGUCUGCUUAGGAAGGACUAAUUAACCUCAUUUCAUUAAAAUUGUAUGCAGACCUGGCUAUACUCAAACUUGCUGAGUACCCUGAUGGCUAUUCAGCUGCAGGUCACCAUACUGAAACCUAAUUAUCUAAAAAAUGUAGAUACGCCACUCUGUGAGAUGCAUGUUCGAACUUGAAUGCUUUUUGUGAGAUCAGGUCUUCAAAAUGGUUAAAUAUAUUCAUGUCAUUACAGUGUCCAAGUUCAACCACAAGCAAUAUAAGUUCCAGCAAUAAUUUAGAAAGGACCUAUCGAACAGAAAUGAGUAAUUUAAAAAGGAUAAGGAAACAUUUAUAUUUAAUCACAAGCAGCAACUAGAAGGAGAUCUACAUCAUAAUAUUAACUCUGGCUGGGAUUACUGUUGAAAAUUUUGCCAGUAACAUACAAACAGAACACACUUUGAUUAUAGUGUUAAAUUUGUUAUUAACCACUCAAAUCUAAACUGAACAACACACUGUUUUUUAAAUGAUUAAUUAGUAUGAGGUCUGAUCCAAAAGUAAUAUCUUCUAUUUUAUUAUGUUGGCCCAUUACAUCAGAGGAAGAUGUUGGUGGUAUGGCAGUAAAGGACGAACCUUCCCACCAAUACUUCCUUAAAAUUUGUUGCUGUGAGACAGAUGGCAGCAGAGGGGCAGUCUGACAAAAAGGCACCUGACAUGGAAGUGCAGAUGAAUCAGAGGUGUGGGACUGAAUUCCUCCAUGAAGAAAAAAUAGCACUGACAUUCACUGACGCUUUUCAAACAUUUAUGGAAACCAAAGAGUGCAUGUUAGCAAAGUGAGGUGGGAGUGUAUCAUCGGUGGCUGAAAUUUCCUGAAAUUGACUUAAUUUCUUAAGGAGAUGGGCAGAAUGGGGUCAGUUGGUUCCACUUAUUUGUGUGCUUAAAGAUCAUGUACUGAGGACAUUAUCAAAAUGCAACUGAUUAGUUUGCAAUAAACUGCUGUGUUAUUGGCCUUGGAGACUUGAAAAUUUCAGAGAAAUGAUGAUGACGUUGCACACUGAACAGCAAUCACAUUCACCAAAAAACAAUCGCCUAAAAUACUAUGUGAGCACAGAAUUAUUAAAAAGCACUUUAUUAGAAACAACACUGGUUUGGCUACUCUGAGUCAGGGUUAUGAUCUGUGUGUCAGGACAAGUUGAGAGGAAUUUAUGAUGUAAAAUCACUUCCUUCAAUAAGGUCUGGAGCAUCUUAGAAGAAAAUCAUUUUCUGAUUCAGAAAAAACCCUACAUAAAUCUGGAUAAAGUAUCCCUCUGUUGCCAUAUUAGCCCAGAAAAGUGAAACCAUGUCAGUAACUUGGGAGCUGUCUCACACAGGUGCAAAAUGGAGACAUGAUUAUGAAAUAGCAAUCAGGCCAUGUCAGCUAUUGCAAUCUUUAUGAAAAUAAAAUGAGCAGGGAAGACACUGUGGAAAAAGUGAUCUACCCUGAAAUUAUUUAAAAUGUCUCACUCCUAUUCUGAAUUCCAUCAAAGGAAAUUAAAAACUUCUAAAUGCCUUCUCCAGAUUCUGAAGGAGUCAGGAAAACAAUUCCAGAGGAAUUAUUUAUAGGAGGAAGAAAUUUUGCAUUGUAAUAAUAGCUUAAAUAAAAUAAUUCAAGUCAUAAAUGGCAACAGGAUCUUCCUGGGGAAAAGUUUGUACCUCUGGAGUACACUUCCCUUCAAAACAACAAAAACCCAGAUGUGGCACCUUCAAAGACAAUGCAUGAUCUCAGGGCAAAUGGCAAAUUUACUCAUUAUUUUCUAGUUUUUUGUUAUCUGCAUACAAAAGCUUUUCUCCAUUUUGACUUCAAAUUUCUUGUGCUUACUACAUAUUCUUCUGGCUGAUGUUUUGAGCACUUUUACUCUGAGUAAUUGUGUGCUGACAGUUUUCAUAAUCACUAAUUGCACUAGAUGACUCCUGUGAUCAGAAACAAAGCAUUUGGGAAAGAUUAAGUGAAUGAAACCAUCCUCUGAAUCAAUAAUUACGCUGAAGUCCUCUUAUGGACAGAUACAUUUUUCUUCUGCACAGAAUGAUUUAUCCAAUACUCCUUAGUUUCACUGCCAAUGCAAAAGCUUUGUUAAAUAUGAAAAUGUUGCAUUUUUUGUCCUUUCUGUAAUAGAGCAUUGUUUCAGAUUUCUUAAUGUUUCUAAUAAACAACAAAUAGAGCUGGCACAUAAAAUAUUUCAUGAGUGUUCGUUCCAAACAUAUGGCUAAUGAUGAAAAUUUAUAAAAUAAAAUCAUAUAAUGGCCUGGGUUGAAAAGGACCAGAAUGAUCAUCAUUCAAGGAACUAAACUGAAAAUAGUUAAAAAAAAAAAAAGACAAACAAAACUUUUGAAACAAUUCAAAAUUCAAUUAGGAUAGAUUGCAAGGUUGUUGACUUGCUAAAUAGUGCUCUCCUGGCCACAGAAAUGUUUAUAAAAUUAUUGGGAUAGCAAAUGAAAUUCAUAGAAAAAAUCUGAAAAGUUAUUAGCUUUUAAUGUAUAAAUUGGAGACAUCAGAAGAAUCCCUUAAAGAGACACUUCCAGCAGAACAGAAAAACUACAAACCUAAUCAGCCGGAGCCUUCAUUAUAAUGUCCCAAUUCCAAGCUAUUCUCACGUAGUAUUGCUGUGCACACUACGGAGUAAAAGUUCUGCUUUAAAAAUCCUGCCGCUCUUAAUUCAGUUCCUAGACUCAGCUACCUGGGCAUUCGUGGCCACAGAUACCUGUUGAAAUUUUUGUUUUGGUGUUCCCCAGCCUCUAAUAUAGGGGUUCAAGAUUAACCUUCUCAUUGCUGUUCCACAAACAGAACAAUGUAAAUGAAAGAACUAUUAGAAAUACAGGUAUUUUAUCACAUAUUCAAUGUUCUUUCAGAUUUAACUGGCUACACAGCAACAGACAGAUGCUCCCAAACGUGACCUUGAGUCACUAAUGACAAUAAAGAAAUAUGGCUAUUUUUUUUUUUGUCUCAUGCUUAACAUGGGCUACUACAAUCUUUGUCAACUAUGUCCUGUACUGAGCGAUAGAAAGUACUUUACUUCAGACAAGUUGCUUUGUUUAAUAGUGGUCAGAAACUGUGAAGAGAAACCUGAUGAAGAGGUGAGAACUUUCAGAGAACCUGUAGCAAAGGAGUAGGAACCAAAUUUUUUGAUAAACCGUGAGAAUCCACCUUAAAGGAAAAAGAAAUACAAACUAAUUACUUAAACUGCACAUGCUAACAGACUGAACAAUGGGGAAAUCCAAGUAGAACAGAAAAGCAGCACUGAGACCAAAUUCCAUGAACAGUACAGCAUAACUGCUGUCAAAGCCAAUGUCUUGGGGAGCAGUAACCUCUACUAACUCCAACAAUGCAAUUUCCUUAGCUUAAAAGGAAAAAAAAUUCACUGCCAUUUGAUCCGUACAACCUAAUGAGAGCUAAGAAGUGAAUGUUGGCACACAAUGCUAAAAGUUUUAUUAAAUUACAAACAGAAUAAAUUAUUUCUUAAGAAAGAAAUGUGACCUCAAUUUUCCUUUGAAAGGAGUGUUCUAGUCCUUGUACAUACGUGAUGACUUAUAUCCUCUUACACUUUUAUCAAAUGUAAAAGUCAAGGGUCUUGCUAACAAAUCAUAAGGAAUUGAUAAUUAACAAAAUGUUAUUUCUAAGCUGCCAGUGUCAUUGCCUUACACAACAGCAGCUAUAAAAGAAACUUUGCAGCACAGCAAAAUCGAGGUAGAUCUGCUGAGGGACAAAGUUAGUACUGAGGGCCCAAUGGCCACAAUAACUAUAUUGGUGGAAACAGACCUAUUCAGUACUAGGAGCAGUCUGCUUCCUGGGACAGCACCAGAUCACUACUGGCACCAGUAUGUGCUCUCCUGGAAGGCAUUUACUCAGUUGGCAUGUUCAAAGACUGCUCCAUGAGGCAUAUGAAAAUGUAAUUACCUGGAGGCAACCAGGACAAUUACUUCACAUACACACUCCUGAUCCAAAUCAAAAUGCUAAUCUAAACUCACUCAUUGUAACAUGCAGAACUAGAGACAUCCACACAUUUCAGUAGCUAUAGUAUUAAUGGUCUGGAAUGCAAAAAUGAGAGCUAAUUGUAAAUAACUUUCUCCUAUCUAAUCAUUAGCGAGUUUCAUAUCCUUAAGACCUGUGUACUUAAUAAUUAUUCAAGUGUCACUAAACAUAAUAAAUGCAAGUAAUACAUUUAUUAUUUACAAAAAAAAAAAAAAGAUUUAAAUAUAUACACAUAAUGAAUUGCUUCUCCUAAGUAUAAAAAAAAUACGUUACAAGUUUCCACACAUAUUCAACAGCUAAAAGGUUCCAUUUGGGCACCAUACCUCCUGCAAAUAAAUAAGUGAACAAUUUCCAAAGAGUUUCUGUUAUACGGAACUCUUCUACAGAUCUGGCCAUGACCGCAAUUACCAUGUUCUUCUGACAUGUUUAGCUUCAGCCACCUAACCUAACAGCUUCUUCUGUAGAAGCCUAGGAAUUACACCAGAUAUAGGAGAAGAUAAUGAAAACAAAAAUUAAGUCAAAACCUUUCAGAGAAUUAUGUUGAGACAGACAAGAAUUUAUAAGCAAAUCACUAGAAAUGAUUAAAUGAUGGAGCUUGACUUUAAAUGCUGUGAAAUGACUUCAGUACUGGAGGAACUUCAUUACUUUUGCAGCUUGCAUAUAAUGGAUUUUUUGGAGUAUAAUUUCCUCCCCUGAAAAGCUUUGAGAUAUUUUAAUAUGUUUGAUUAACUAGUCAAGAAGCAAAGUAAACAACUGUAAUUUUGGUAUACUAGUAUCCAAAUAACUCAGGAGAAUAUCUGUGAGCACAAUGAAAACUAAACAGAGCCAGAAAUGCCUUGUAAAUAUUACAGUAGUUGCUUCUGCCAAAAUAUUGCCAGCCAGCACAGAUUACAGUGCCAUAAUUACAGUAGAUGACAUAAAAUGAUUAUAAAUUAACAGUCUGUAGUAUGAAGUUAAACAUUAUAUAUAUUUACUAGGUACCUGCACAAAAUAUGAACAAAGGACUGUGAAAUAUUGUAAAAGAGAAAUCACCAGGGAACCUGUUUCUGUUUUAACUCAAGCUCAAUAUUUUUCCACAAAGCUUCUCACAUUUUUCUAGAGUCCUUUCCCAGUCAAGUAGUAAUUUAAAAAUGUUUCAAAAAAUAUCUAAAUAUCUUAAUUUUUACCAAAAAGUUCCAGAAAAUAGGAAGGCAAUACAUACAACGUACUCAACUAUCUGUGAUUUAGUCCUUUGCUAAAUCAAAAGCCUACAAAACGUACUCAUGCUGAUAUGACAGGAGUUCCUAAUAAAUGAGGAAAUAUGGAAUCUGGUUUCUAUGCUGCCUAUUCAAAAAACACCUGAAUUUCUGUGUUGUUAUUGCUCACUUUCAGAUCCUUCUCAUCUCCAAUUCUGGGGAAACUGGAUAGGGUUUCCCUUUCCUUGAGAUGAAAGUUUCUAGGAUGUGUUUUAGGAACCAAGCCUAAGAUUUAGAUGAUUUCCUCUGCCUACACUGCUCAGUAUUUUUGAAACUGGCACAAUUAUUACUUGUCAUUUAACUUCCCUGAACCAAAUCAGAAAAUUUACAUCUGCAAAACGUCAAGAAGAAAGGGGAAGCAGAAACAAUCCACACUAAAUCAGAGGGUGGUUUCUGUGUGAUAGUUCAGUGAUGAUAGGUGAGGUACAGGAAACAAUCCUAUGCAAUGAUCACCAAAAACUUGAGAAGUUGAUGUGAUACUAAGUUCUAUGGAUGCAAAAAAAUGUUACUACUUUCUUUUAAUGAGAUCUUUCUUAGUAUUUGAUUUAUUUUCUAAUGACAGUAUAAAGCACAUUGACACCUUUUUGUUUCCACAUCAUCACAAGUUCUCUGAAGGCUUACAUUUAAAUCUCUCUGCUAUAAUCACAGUGGUUUCAAAUUAGCAUCUUAAUGAAUUCUCCAUGGACUUGUGUCCUUAUGCGUUUUCCCUUUUCUAAUCUCAUAUCAUAAUGGUGCCAUAACUGGGUCCCUUCUGAUUCGAGCUGAAAUCAUUAUGGAACACUUAACAGCAAAGAUACACUAGAUUAAACAGAAGAGAAAUUCAGUAGCAUUGUAAAAGAGCAGAUUAUGAUUUCUGACUUUUUUAAAGCAUUCUCAAAGAAGUCAGUCUCUGUGCACAAAAGGUACCUGGUAGUCUGAAAAAUUCUUAAUAUGGAAAAUAUUCAGCUAGAAAUUUUUGAAUUCAUUUAGUACAGAACUACACUAACUGUUAACAAAACCACCCUUUAAAAGUCAAAUAAAUGAAAAACUGCAACUUAGAGCCCAACCUGGUGAUGCACACAAUUGUAUCAUGGAAAUUUAGAGGAGAAUGACAAAAGGAAACAAUAAAACAUUAAAUGAUAUUUUUGUAGCUGAUGUCUAAUUGGAGACACAGAGAUAUUUGGUAUCUACAUCAGAGUUGCUGAAUACCGGUACUUAUUUAUUUCCUUGAAAGGUAGCUGUAAGCAGCAGAACUCUGAAAAAGCUCACCUAUCUUUAGAAAGUCAACUCUACGCUGGCCUUAGUUCAAACCUAAAUGAACAUAUCUGCUUCUCCAAAUUAUACAGAAUAUUCGGAAUGAAUGGAAAAAACUAAUUCACUUAAAAUAUAUUGAAUGGAGAAAAGACACUUAGAAUUGUACAUCUCUUCAGAGGAUCAGGAUGACUAAAUCAUUGAUGUCAGUAAUAUGCUAGGCCAUAAACUGUUGUGCUAAAUAAGAUGCAGGUAAAGCUCUGUAAUGGUAAGAAACUGUCAUCUCUCUAAAGCUCCAUCUUACCGCAAAAUAUUUUUUAGCAUUGGUAACUAUUUGCAAAUACCAGAGUGAACUGUACUCUAAGGACAAACCAGCUAGAAAGGUCUGCCCAAAAUAACAUACCAACUGAACUGAACCAAGUGCAGGGAUGGAAUUGCAGAGCUUGUAACUUCCAAUAAGGAGUGCACAACUGUCAAAUGCAAAUUGCUGGAGAUAAGAUUCAUUCUGUCUCUGGGGAGAAAAUAUGCUUCUUUCAGUCUUCAGUUUUGAUUCUCAUUUGAAAUAGCUGUUCAUUUUUGCUUCCCAGUAUAGAUACGUCACAGAGAGAACUGGAGAGAAGCUGUAUAUUUUCCCUAUAACAAAGCAAAAUAUGGAGAGGAAUUCCAGGAGAACCAACAAAGUCAUUUGCAUGGAAAGUAGGAAGACUAGUGAAAAAAUAAUUGUGAAAAGACCUCUGCACAGCCACAAUUUCAAAAGACAGUAUUUUUUUUUGCCUUAAUUUACACCGUAGAAUCUAAAUUUGGCGCUUGAAGUACCUUCAGCAACUUCUAAUGCAGAUUCACUCCUAAAUUUUAGGAGACAGAAAAUGAUGUUUUAUCACAGAUUAGUUGGUAGUUUCCCUUCUCCUGUUUUAAAGUCUGUCAAUCUGACCGGUUUUUUAUUAAUUUAUUCAGUAGCUAUGGUGACAGUUCAUCUCUGUCAAUCAGCAGCAAAGGUCUAAGCCAUACCUCUCUGAAAACAAUUCCAGAAAUAUAAUAUUCUGUAGAUAAAACAAUUAUGAGACUGGAUUAACAUUAACAAAAUUAAUAUGUAUUCUCACAGUGAGAUUAUGCUCAUCUCCCUAUGACAUUUAUUUUUGCCAUCGCACAAGUGCACACAGUAAGAAAAUGAAACCAUCUGCACUGAGCAUUAGGAUCACACUACCCAAACCCGAUGAGAGAAGACUGAUGCUGGGAAAACAGGACAAAACAGAUGAAAUUUUAAAUGAUUUUUUCCUCUACUAAUAUUUCAUGUUAGUAAGUACAUAAUAAUGGAAUGCCUGUAACUUUUACAAAAGGGUGGGAUAGGAUUACAAAACUAGAUUAGUGCAAAUUCUAGUUAAAAAUCUUUUCAUGUCAUGUACUAAAAGUCGCCAUUUCAGAGUGAGCCUGAACUGAUGGUUCUAUGCUUAUUUCUAGAGAAACUGGUAGCCCCACUAAAGGCAGAGCUUCAGUCUGAAAGUUACAUCCUCAUGGUGUGGAUUCAAAAGUCGCUCUUCUUCCUGACACCUCAUGUCAAUAGAAUACUAUCCAUUCUUCUUACUCCAUUAUUUUAGACAGGGACAAGGUACAUACAUUUAAGUUUGCCAUUUUAAUAUUCCCUCAACAUAAGCUCCUUCACAAGCAAACUUUUAUUUCUUUACUUAUUCUGAAACUGUAUGUUCAGAUGAUACUGUGAUCAUUAGUUCCUACACGUCUUUUUUCUUUUUUUUAUUAGGCUGGUCUCCUUCACAGGAUUAGUUCCCAAAUAGCCUCUGACUACAUGAAUUGCUCCACAAAUUGUCUCACAGAGCCAUACAGUGUUAUCAUCAAAAAAUAUAUAUUUAAUAAUACAGCUAUCACAAUCAAAAUCUCGAGAAUUAAAAUCCUCCAUGAUCAAAGUUCUGGCUCUCUUGCAGACUUUUUUUCUUUUAAAUCAGCAAUACAUGUUGUUAUCUGCUUUUCUUAACUGCCCUCAAGGGUUACAAUAACUGGAUUAUUUUAUUGUUCUUAUCUAUUAAAGCUUUCCAGUGUACCAGACAAAAUACUUAACUAGCUCUCUGUUGGCAGCCCAAUACCAUCUCGCAUCGAUUGAACCAAAAGAUUCCUUUGCCUUAUCUUGUUCAGUGUAGACCAGAUUUCCUGCUGCUCACUGCUAAAAAUAUUUAGUGAUUUUACUUCCCAAGGAAGCUCUGAUUUCUGUUCAGUAGACUGUACUGGGUAUGGUCUAGGGAAAUUUUUUUUCUAUGUUUGUUGUUUUUAUCCUUUGUCUUCCAAUUCCCAUUUGUUCUGACAAGUUAAGUAUUAUUGGGACCUACAGUUGGACUGUCUCUUCCUUCACCUCCUCUUUCUUUUCGCAUCUAGCCUAGAAGUGUUUGCUGCCUACUUUAAAUAAAUAGUUAAUGUACAUUCUCCUCACAGGUCUCCUAAGCAUCUUUGAACAGCAGUUCUACCAGUGUCACUGUUCCACAUGCAUGCAAAAUCACUCAGAAAUCUGACUGUAAACCUGUAUUAGCAGCAGUUCCUAUCACAGCAGGAACAUCUUCACGCUGUGUUACCAGAGAAAGAACUAAGGAUAAAGACAGAUACGAAGCUAAUAUGUCUGAGAAGGUGAUAAAGCACUGCAAGGCAGCUCUAUUAAUAACUGCAUAUAUCUGAGUCAGAUAGAGGGAAAUAAGAGGGCCACAACUGUUACAGGAUACAUCCAACCUUUUUUCCCCUUACCUAACAAAUGAAGGAAUUACUAUGCCAUGAACUGACACAAUACGAAUAGGGGUAUUUCCUACUGAUACUUCAGUUGAGAACACUUUUCAUUAUCACCAACUUUAACAUACCAGCAAAAGAUCAACUCACUAUAAUUCUGAGUACUUUGGUCAUUAUAAACAAUAUACUGUUGCAAUAUACUUCAAUGUUAGGGACAAAAAACCUUGUACAUUCAAAGUGCAAUAUUUUCUAAAAAAGAUAUCAGAUGGCUGAUGAGAUUUGGGGUUGUUCUGAAGAAAAUGCUGUGCUGGAAAAUCCAAGACUAAAAGCUAAUGAUGAAUUUGUAAAGCACUCAAGAUCACCUACACAACACAGAAGAAGCCAAGAAAGGACAGAUAACAGAGCAAUUCUCAACUGACAGUUCGAAGAAUCAAUUUUUGUUUUUAUCUCACUUGCUAUGAAAUUAAUGAGGUUUUCAUAGUAUAGUAGUGCAAAGACCUACCAUCUGUGUAAAUUCCUGAACUCACUGAAUUUUCCUUUGUCUGGCACCUUCUGUACUGCCCAGCAGUGUUCCCACUUUGUUUAUACAUUUGACAGUCUAAGCGUAUUUUCUUUUCCAGGGCAGGCAGCCCUCAGCUCUAGCUGUCUACAUUGUGAAGCUGACUCCACACAAAUCAACACAUGCUUUAAACUUGUCCUCAUAGUGUCUCAGUUGUGUACUGAUCUCUCAUCUAUUCACCAUGAUUUACAACAAAAUAAAGGGGUGUGGGGAGGAACAACAGGAGACACAGAUUCUAGCACUUUGCAGUAUACACAUUUCAUAACAACUGAAACAGAUAACUUUACGGGCGUACCACUACAAUACUAUCUAACCAUACUCUUGAAUUUAAGUUUUUGAAAUCAACUUAUGCAAAUAUAUAAAUAUUUAAGGCCAGGAAAUAUGGAAAGGGAUGUAAUAAUACUCCAGUCAAAAUGCUGCAACUACACAGAGAAGCUGUAACAACAGAUUGCUUUGUAGAAAUUUACUUCUGUUUGAAGUUCAUUGAUUUUCAUUCCAGCCAUUUAUUUUGCUAAGCAGUAGUUUUGAGCACCUAUUGAUCAUCAUGUUCUGAUGUGGCAGGCUUCUGAGAAAAAAAGUUAAACUAACUAGAACUAAUGAGCAAUUAAACUUGCUCACACAAGUACAGUUGUGGUUUAAUGGUGGCAAGCACAUGACAUGAAGAACAAUGUGUCCAUUUUCUCAGACUUAUUUUCAAAUAAUGCUUAAAAAAAAUUCAGAUUCAUUAUCUAGACAAUAACACAUUAAACAGAGAAACAGAUUUUAACACGUGUUGUACACCAUGCAUACAUAAAUGUAAAAGAAAUUAAGCACUGGAGACCCAUUUUGAUCUACUUUUCUUCUGCUCUUCUACGUAAAUAUAACAUCCUUCUCUUCUAGACAAAAAGAGUAAUACUCUGUCUUAACUUUUCCAUACAUUUUUUUUAUCUUCAGUAUUAAACUGUUGAAGCUCAUUUCCCAUUUCUUAUACCAUGUUCCCUAGUUCUUAACUAUUUUGUGCAUUUGUCAAAUGGUCUUUGGAUCCUACCAUUUCUUUUCUUUCCCAUGAAAAGGUGAUUCAUUUCUGAAGGAAGGACUCAAUUAAGAUUUCCAGCAAAAAUUAUGUUUCAGGAGAGGACAAAAUGGGCACAUGUGAUAUCCAACAGUUGAUGAUUAACAGUGUUGCACUAAAGUCUCUGGAAUCACAAAACAACCCAAUCCUUGCUGAGGGAAAAUUGUAUUUUAAAAGUUCAGUAUUCACUUAUUAUAAUGCAGUUAUUGCAUUACAACCUUAGAUGAAUUCCAGAAAUAAAUGAAACGACAAUAUUUUUCUUGAGGUAAAUUCAAAAACCACUAAUAAAGGAAAUCUGCUAGGUUCAAAAAAAAUCAUUUGCUGAGAGCAAUACUUCCAAGUCUGCAUCAGGGUGGGUAGAAAACAAGAGAUUAAGAAUAUAGAAUAUGAAGAAUAUGAGAUGAAAAGAAAAAAAAAUAUGUUGCUUUUUGGAAGCUGAGGAAAAGCCUGAACACAUAAGCCAAGGAAUAAUGGUUUUGGGUUUUUUUUGUUUGUUUUUUCAAGUAACAUACCCAAAAAUCUAAUGAAAGGAAACAAAAUCUCACAGGCCAAGGCAGCAGUAUUUGAGAACCAGAUCCAAGAUGAAAUCCUCAGGCUACAUGGGCUUUUUCUUGAAAAUUGGAUUGCAAAAGCUUAACAGCUUGCAACUGAAGAUGACCCACUUUGCAUUGAAAAGACAUACAGAAUCCCCUUUAAGAAAAUAAUAACAAUAAUAAUAAAUAUAUAUAUGUCUUGAGUAGAAGGCAGAAUCACACUUAGCCUCUCAGGUCAGAGAUGCAAGGGAAGGAUCCACCUCACGGCAGCAUAAAAGGACAGCCAACUUUUCUAAUAUGCUUUAAGUCUUACAUUUCUUUCUUGUCUAAAGUGCCAUAACUGCAGCAAAGACUGAGGUUAGCACUGCCAAAGAAGAGAAGUAGACAUUUCUUUUAUAUUAAGAGGAAAAAAGAUCUCACAUUUCUUUACCAAAUAUUGGGAAAAGCAGGAUCGACAUACCUUCACAGCUUUCCCCAUUAUUGCAAAGAUAUGCCUUUCACAUGUCCAGAGGUCUACAGCUUUGUAAUACCUCCGUAGCCAAACAGAAAAGAAAAACCUAAUAUAUCAAAGUAUUAAUAAGCCUUAAUAAUUGACUUUCAAUGUUGUUUUUUUUUUUUUUUUUUUGGAAUAACAUUCCAUGCACAGCACUCCAGAAGUCACAUACAAAAAAUUUCCAACCAGCUCUGUGUUUUUAUCACAGAAUAUAGAACCAAGUAACGAGCAGCAAACAUUUCAUUUUCUAACUGGUAGUGAUCACAAAGGUACUGAUUUCUACAUAGUCUUCACUUGUUCAGCACCCUUGAAGACAAGAUAUGAAUAGUAAAUCACCCAUAUGAAAACUGAAAUUAGAGAAUCUCUUUGACCUUUAUAUUUGCAUUUCUUCCAUUACAGAAUAUAAAUAAAUUCAUAUAUUUCAUAAUGGGAAUUGUAAAACUUAUGCAAAUAUUGAUUCAGUACUUUGAUAAGAGAAUUUAUUUUCAAAUAGCAGGAGGAACAAUGAUCAAACAUUACCAAAAAAAUUCCUUAGGAAAUGCAAUCAAACAUGAAAAGUACUAUAUUCUUCUUUGCAGAAAAGCAUUUACAUUGCAAUACCUUCUAUAUCUAUAAAUCAGUUUCUUGUGUUGGCUAGCCAGUUUUUAAAUUGAUUUCUUUUUAAUAUUCAGGUCUUCCACCAUCAAUAGCAACACUUCAGAGUUAAACCAUUCAACAGCUCGCUUCCCAUUUUUUGGCUUUAUUUUUCCCCCAAAUUCCAUGACAGUAGCCUUAAAUCACAUAAAUCAAAUGAACUUUAGAGAGAGAAAAAAAACCAACAGAAUCUACAAACUUCAAACUGUUUUGUCAAAAAAAGUUCUUCUAGGUUAAACAUCUUGGAGAAUCAUCUUAAGUGGAAUGAUAAAUUAAAAUUACUCAAAAAAGAAAUAUUACCUGACUUUCUACUGCUAUUAUAAAAGACCGAAAAGUAGAACUGUAUCUUUUUACAGAUAAUUGUAGAGAUUUUACACUCCAAAGGACUUCUCAUAUUAGUUUUCUUACCUUUUCUCCACUUACAUAAAUGGACAUGAGAUAAAAUAUUCCAUUUCCAUUAUAUCUCAUAGUUUAACAGUUACGUCAAAAUGUUAAUCAGAAGAAUUCAAAAUAUUGUUAUAAAGCCUCCUAGGAACAUUUUAUUUUCUAGUUCUACAUAUAUCUCCUUGAUAUGCUCUAGCUCUUAUUUGUAGUUUUUUUUUUUUUUUGUAGACCAUAGAUCACCAUUCUUAUUUGUAGAUCAUUUUUCUCCCUUGUACCAAGGUGUUCCAUUCCUUCCUUCAUAGUUAUUGUCCACUUAAAUCUGUAUUUAUCCCUUUUAUUCCAUUCUUAGAUACAUAAUUGACCUACACCUGAAAAGUAAAUACUCAGACCUCUUUGAAAGUCUUGUGUAAAUAAAAAUUGUAGUUAAGAUCUAAACUAAGAGCAAACUUAAAUAAAGUACGCUUUUCUCACUGAGGUUCAGCGAAUGUCAUGAAGGAAAAAGGAAAGUCGUUCAGAUCUGCAUACAUAAUUAGAAACUUGCUUAAAUGAAGUUUGAAGAGAUUUGCAGAGAUUCUUUUUUCUUAUAAACAAGUUUAAAGAUUUUUGAAAUGGUUAGUUGGCCUGCAUUCAAAAAUACCAAGAGGGGUGCACUAAGGAACAUAACUUUUAUGAUUAUUUAAUUUUUUUUAGAUUGCCAAGUCAAGUGUGCUUUAAACUAGUCUCUUGUGAAUGUACAUAAUAAAAAAAAUUCUAUUUCAGCAGAUAAUUUUUUCAGGUGAUUUGCUUGCAGCAAAAUAAAAU